Molecule: ribosomal RNA, 363 nt
Filed under: Salmonella enterica subsp. enterica serovar Meleagridis
Lineage: Bacteria; Pseudomonadati; Pseudomonadota; Gammaproteobacteria; Enterobacterales; Enterobacteriaceae
Description: partial 23S ribosomal RNA
Rfam family: Bacterial large subunit ribosomal RNA
Source: RNAcentral
AUCUAAGUACCCCGAGGAAAAGAAAUCAACCGAGAUUCCCCCAGUAGCGGCGAGCGAACGGGGAGGAGCCCAGAGCCUGAAUCAGCAUGUGUGUUAGUGGAAGCGUCUGGAAAGGCGCGCGAUACAGGGUGACAGCCCCGUACACAAAAGCGCAUGUGCUGUGAGCUCGAUGAGUAGGGCGGGACACGUGGUAUCCUGUCUGAAUAUGGGGGGACCAUCCUCCAAGGCUAAAUACUCCUGACUGACCGAUAGUGAACCAGUACCGUGAGGGAAAGGCGAAAAGAACCCCGGCGAGGGGAGUGAAAAAGAACCUGAAACCGUGUACGUACAAGCAGUGGGAGCACAGGUUUACCUGUGUGACUG